Leptopilina boulardi is the source of this 574-nucleotide long non-coding RNA. RefSeq lists it as uncharacterized. The record is from RefSeq and is a predicted model, not a curated record. NCBI's taxonomy places the organism in Eukaryota, Metazoa, Arthropoda, Insecta, Hymenoptera, Figitidae. The transcript has 3 exons.
CUGAAUUGGACUUGGCUUGAGUUCCACUUCAGUACCACUACCUGAUAACCCAUAAGAAGACAUUUUUAAAGUACUUUAACAAUAGUUUUAAAGGUAAAUUUCCCAGUUCCAUUUCAGUACCAAAAUGCACCAAAUUAGUACUGAGUUGGUACUGAGAUCUCAGUUCCAAUUUUCCAGUACCGAUCCAGUACCACCCUUCCGGUAGGGCCAUACCUGACCCUAACGACAGAUGGCCUUUUCCUAUGAUUUAGAAACGGCAACCACUGCGGAAGAGUUAUUAUAUGGUCCAGGAAUCGAUGACUCUUUGUAACUUAGAAACAAAAUUUCUUCUGAACAAAAAAAAACGAAGUAUACUUGCAGAAUGCUGGUCACCGCAAUUCGCCUUUUUUCUUAAGACGCCACUUCAAUGGCUCAUAUCUCCAAAAGUUUUUGUUAAAAAAAUUUUUUUUUUCUUUUAAAUUACAGCUUUUUACAUGUACUUUUAACUAAUAAAUAGUAUUCUUUAAAAAGAUUCAUUGUUCUUUUGGAAAAUAUUCUUGAAAAAAGCAUUAUUUUUUGAGUUACAACUGGUGUU